RNAcentral lists this ribosomal RNA (2905 nucleotides) under Salmonella enterica. RNAcentral's name for it is "23S ribosomal RNA". It matches the Rfam family "Bacterial large subunit ribosomal RNA". RNAcentral also lists the same sequence under 2 other names. The record is from RNAcentral. Lineage: Bacteria; Pseudomonadati; Pseudomonadota; Gammaproteobacteria; Enterobacterales; Enterobacteriaceae.
GGUUAAGCGACUAAGCGUACACGGUGGAUGCCCUGGCAGUCAGAGGCGAUGAAGGACGUGCUAAUCUGCGAUAAGCGCCGGUAAGGUGAUAUGAACCGUUAUAACCGGCGAUUUCCGAAUGGGGAAACCCAGUGUGACUCGUCACACUAUCAUUAACUGAAUCCAUAGGUUAAUGAGGCGAACCGGGGGAACUGAAACAUCUAAGUACCCCGAGGAAAAGAAAUCAACCGAGAUUCCCCCAGUAGCGGCGAGCGAACGGGGAGGAGCCCAGAGCCUGAAUCAGCAUGUGUGUUAGUGGAAGCGUCUGGAAAGGCGCGCGAUACAGGGUGACAGCCCCGUACACAAAAGCGCAUGUGCUGUGAGCUCGAUGAGUAGGGCGGGACACGUGGUAUCCUGUCUGAAUAUGGGGGGACCAUCCUCCAAGGCUAAAUACUCCUGACUGACCGAUAGUGAACCAGUACCGUGAGGGAAAGGCGAAAAGAACCCCGGCGAGGGGAGUGAAAAAGAACCUGAAACCGUGUACGUACAAGCAGUGGGAGCACCCUUCGGGGUGUGACUGCGUACCUUUUGUAUAAUGGGUCAGCGACUUAUAUUCUGUAGCAAGGUUAACCGAAUAGGGGAGCCGGAGGGAAACCGAGUCUUAAUUGGGCGUUAAGUUGCAGGGUAUAGACCCGAAACCCGGUGAUCUAGCCAUGGGCAGGUUGAAGGUUGGGUAACACUAACUGGAGGACCGAACCGACUAAUGUUGAAAAAUUAGCGGAUGACCUGUGGCUGGGGGUGAAAGGCCAAUCAAACCGGGAGAUAGCUGGUUCUCCCCGAAAGCUAUUUAGGUAGCGCCUCGUGAAUUCAUCUCCGGGGGUAGAGCACUGUUUCGGCUAGGGGGCCAUCCCGGCUUACCAACCCGAUGCAAACUGCGAAUACCGGAGAAUGUUAUCACGGGAGACACACGGCGGGUGCUAACGUCCGUCGUGAAGAGGGAAACAACCCAGACCGCCAGCUAAGGUCCCAAAGUCAUGGUUAAGUGGGAAACGAUGUGGGAAGGCCCAGACAGCCAGGAUGUUGGCUUAGAAGCAGCCAUCAUUUAAAGAAAGCGUAAUAGCUCACUGGUCGAGUCGGCCUGCGCGGAAGAUGUAACGGGGCUAAACCAUGCACCGAAGCUGCGGCAGCGACACUGUGUGUUGUUGGGUAGGGGAGCGUUCUGUAAGCCUGCGAAGGUGGCCUGUGAGGGUUGCUGGAGGUAUCAGAAGUGCGAAUGCUGACAUAAGUAACGAUAAAGCGGGUGAAAAGCCCGCUCGCCGGAAGACCAAGGGUUCCUGUCCAACGUUAAUCGGGGCAGGGUGAGUCGACCCCUAAGGCGAGGCCGAAAGGCGUAGUCGAUGGGAAACGGGUUAAUAUUCCCGUACUUGGUGUUACUGCGAAGGGGGGACGGAGAAGGCUAUGUUGGCCGGGCGACGGUUGUCCCGGUUUAAGCGUGUAGGUGUGUGUUCCAGGUAAAUCCGGUUCACUUUAACACUGAGGCGUGACGACGAGGCACUACGGUGCUGAAGCAACAAAUGCCCUGCUUCCAGGAAAAGCCUCUAAGCAUCAGGUAACAUCAAAUCGUACCCCAAACCGACACAGGUGGUCAGGUAGAGAAUACCAAGGCGCUUGAGAGAACUCGGGUGAAGGAACUAGGCAAAAUGGUGCCGUAACUUCGGGAGAAGGCACGCUGACAUGUAGGUGAAGUGAUUUACUCAUGGAGCUGAAGUCAGUCGAAGAUACCAGCUGGCUGCAACUGUUUAUUAAAAACACAGCACUGUGCAAACACGAAAGUGGACGUAUACGGUGUGACGCCUGCCCGGUGCCGGAAGGUUAAUUGAUGGGGUCAGCGCAAGCGAAGCUCCUGAUCGAAGCCCCGGUAAACGGCGGCCGUAACUAUAACGGUCCUAAGGUAGCGAAAUUCCUUGUCGGGUAAGUUCCGACCUGCACGAAUGGCGUAAUGAUGGCCAGGCUGUCUCCACCCGAGACUCAGUGAAAUUGAACUCGCUGUGAAGAUGCAGUGUACCCGCGGCAAGACGGAAAGACCCCGUGAACCUUUACUAUAGCUUGACACUGAACAUUGAGCCUUGAUGUGUAGGAUAGGUGGGAGGCUUUGAAGUGUGGACGCCAGUCUGCAUGGAGCCGACCUUGAAAUACCACCCUUUAAUGUUUGAUGUUCUAACGUGGACCCGUAAUCCGGGUUGCGGACAGUGUCUGGUGGGUAGUUUGACUGGGGCGGUCUCCUCCUAAAGAGUAACGGAGGAGCACGAAGGUUGGCUAAUCCUGGUCGGACAUCAGGAGGUUAGUGCAAUGGCAUAAGCCAGCUUGACUGCGAGCGUGACGGCGCGAGCAGGUGCGAAAGCAGGUCAUAGUGAUCCGGUGGUUCUGAAUGGAAGGGCCAUCGCUCAACGGAUAAAAGGUACUCCGGGGAUAACAGGCUGAUACCGCCCAAGAGUUCAUAUCGACGGCGGUGUUUGGCACCUCGAUGUCGGCUCAUCACAUCCUGGGGCUGAAGUAGGUCCCAAGGGUAUGGCUGUUCGCCAUUUAAAGUGGUACGCGAGCUGGGUUUAGAACGUCGUGAGACAGUUCGGUCCCUAUCUGCCGUGGGCGCUGGAGAACUGAGGGGGGCUGCUCCUAGUACGAGAGGACCGGAGUGGACGCAUCACUGGUGUUCGGGUUGUCAUGCCAAUGGCACUGCCCGGUAGCUAAAUGCGGAAGAGAUAAGUGCUGAAAGCAUCUAAGCACGAAACUUGCCCCGAGAUGAGUUCUCCCUGAGACUUAAAGUCUCCUGAAGGAACGUUGAAGACGACGACGUUGAUAGGCCGGGUGUGUAAGCGCAGCGAUGCGUUGAGCUAACCGGUACUAAUGAACCGUGAGGCUUAACCUU